This 429-nucleotide ribosomal RNA is filed under the name Actinomycetes bacterium. RNAcentral's name for it is "Actinobacteria bacterium partial 16S ribosomal RNA". It matches the Rfam family "Bacterial small subunit ribosomal RNA", at positions 355 to 776 of the family's 1533-position model. The record is from RNAcentral. Lineage: Bacteria; Bacillati; Actinomycetota; Actinomycetes.
UAGGGAAUCUUCCGCAAUGGGCGAAAGCCUGACGGAGCAACGCCGCGUGAGUGAUGAAGGUCUUCGGAUCGUAAAACUCUGUUAUUAGGGAAGAACAAAUGUGUAAGUAACUAUGCACGUCUUGACGGUACCUAAUCAGAAAGCCACGGCUAACUACGUGCCAGCAGCCGCGGUAAUACGUAGGUGGCAAGCGUUAUCCGGAAUUAUUGGGCGUAAAGCGCGCGUAGGCGGUUUUUUAAGUCUGAUGUGAAAGCCCACGGCUCAACCGUGGAGGGUCAUUGGAAACUGGAAAGCUUGAGUGCAGAAGAGGAAAGUGGAAUUACAUGUGUAGCGGUGAAAUGCGCAGAGAUAUGGAGGAACACCAGUGGCGGAGGCGACUUUCUGGUCUGUAACUGACGCUGAUGUGCGAAAGCGUGGGGAUCAAACAGG